AGCAAUUCCACGACAACACUAACGUCUCAACCCAGAUCCGACCCGAAUUUGCCAGCCCCGAUUAACCCUUAACCACGUCGACCUACGUCUAACAGCGAAACCCGACCCCAACCCGUUUCUUUUUCACCUUCGUCACGCAUCUCACGCAUCCGUAGGACGAGAAAAUGAUCCAAAAAUCUUUUGAACAAGCUAGGUGACACCCCCCAAUGGCUAAUUGCAUGAAUCUCUGCCACGAUGGUACUAUUUCGUACAUAUUUUGUAAAUUUUCGUUGGUUCUUGGGGAAAUUAUCCAUUUCCCCCAAUUUCUGUUGGCCAUUUUUUGAAAUCCGUUCCAAAAAAUCCAAAUUAGGGUACAAUCUGUUAUUAUCCUCAUCUUUUGAAUUUCGAAAUUCCCCCUGAAAAAUCCCUAAAAUACCCCAAUUCCGUCUUCUAUAUAAGAACCCAUUGGGUCACUAUUUUGGGGGAUUGGAAAUACUGGAUUUGGAAAAAACUAAGGAAGAGAGAAAAAGAACAAAAAUUCUUGGAGAAAAUUCGGUCUUUAGUAGAAAUUCUGUUCUUGUUUUGAAAGUUUAUCGACUAAAUUAGAGCUUCGAGUUGACGGUGAAGAAGUUUUUACGGUGGUCGUGAUCUCCAUACCAAUUCUUCGUCUCGAUUUGCUGCCCUUAAAGAGGUAAAUACACUCUGCUUUUCCUUUAAUUUGACCGCUUUCUUCUUCGUCUCUUUUUCUUCGUAGCUAAUGUAGUCGUAGUCGUAACCUUGUUUUGCUGGGAGUAGCUAAUUUGUCAUAGCUGCCUGAUAUGCAAUUUCUGCUAGUUUCGCCUCAGCUUUGAAAUCUGCCGCUUAAUCUUGACAUUGUUGAUGAAUUUGCGACGUAACACUCUCAUUUUGUUUACUGCCUGAGGUGAAUAGUUGGUUUCAUAGCUAAAGUUUCGUGCUUUGACUUUGUCUAGUAUCUAGGGCUGAUGGUGUCUUGUUCCUGGUUAGUAUUUGACGUUGUUUUGUUUGUCGUCAUUAUCUUGGUUCUGUCUCGUUUUCGCUUUGAAGUAGUAAAAAAUGGUAAUUUAACUCUUUCUUGUAUGCUCGGUGUUCUCUGUAGAAGGCCUCAAAGGCCAUAGGAUCUAUGUGCGUUAAAAAUGUGUAAUGGUUGCGUUGUAUUAGAUUCAUUGUUUGAUCUCCAUGUCGAGCUUUUUUUCCUUUACCGUUAAUUCACGUUUAAAAGUGUAGAAUAGCAUGAAAUCCAUGUUCUACCCUAAUGUUCAAUUGUAAACAUUUUAGGAUGUCUGCUUGGUUUAUUGGAAAGUAUUCUUGUUGAAAUAUCAUGAUUUCCCUUUUUUUUAAUCAUCGUAAGCUCGUUUACCAAAAUGCAGUUAGUCUUAGUUAGUCUGAGUCUGAUAUGAGCAUAAAGAAAUUUUUUUUCUUUUCUUCUUUUGGGUUGCUAUUCGAUAAAGUAGUGAAAUAUUCUAGUGACAAGAUGGGUGUUUCUUCCAUAAUACCUUUGCAUGAGCUUUCCGAAAAUCUACCCAUCUGAUUGGAUUUUGCGGAUCUUUCCCCAAUUUCAGAUCUUGGCAGUAGUAUACUCCCGAAAUGUGGUUGUAAGAGUAGCUCGGAUAUGGUGGUUUUGUUACUAUAUCUAAAACGUUUGCUUCUGAGAGUUUGAUUGCUUAAGUUUGUUCCGGUCUUUCUCUUUUCUCUAUGUGAUGAUUUGAAUAGAAGAUGCAUGCUUAGAGUCGUUUGUCCUCCUUUCUUGAAGUUCACUGUAACUAGUCGAAAUUAGAUGUGAAUGGUAAUUCCCAUAACAUAGGAUUCACUAACUUAUAAACUAACUUGCUCUUUGGGUUUCUUGAGUUCUUAUCUGUUAACUUUCUAUCACCCUCGCUAAAUCUUUGGGUUGUCCGGUCAAAAUCCUCGCUUAAUUAAAAUAAUUUCCACAGCCUUAAAACGUAUUGAUCUAACUCCUUCUACUUGAAAUCGUGUGACUAUUCUCAUCCUCUCUGUAAACUAGAAUUUCUUUGAUUGUGCGCUUUCUCUAGCCAUUAUGAGUCGUAUUUCUUUCCGCAUUCAUGUGUUUUCUUCGAUUAUCCCGCAUCACAUGUUGCGGAUACAGACUGAACCUUUUAAUCACGUGGGGUUAGGAAGGGGAAAGUCUUAUUUAGUUAUUUCUUUUUAAGAUAACUGAUAUACAACAUUUGCAUCUUGCUAAAUUUACCAUGUGCAGCUUAUCUUUAUGUAAAUGAUGCCAUUCAUCUUUACUCGCAAGUUGUGACAUAUCUUUGCACAAAUAAAAAUUUUUCUAACGCUUAACAUUAUUUGAAUCCAUAUUUUGGGAGUAGUUUCUAGGAGAACAUGUUACAGUUAUUCAUAGGCUACUGCUGAAGUCCCUUUCUUGUUGCCCUCACUAUGUUCCUGCAGUAGUUGAUGACAUGCAUUUGGGUUUAUAAUCACUGCCUAAUACAUAGUAGGAGGCAGUACUUUCUUUUUUUUAGUAUUUGGUAUUUAAGUGGUACUUAAGAAGCAGAUUCGUGUUAAAAGGUUAAUCCAAGUCUACGAGGUUGUCUUUUAGUGCGUUACGUGGAGUAUCUUGUUUAUUGUAUUAUUAGACAUGUUACUUGUUGUUGCAUUUUUUUUCCGCAUUUAUGCUUGAAUCUUUCAUUGUAUCAUUAAUUUCUUUAGCAUGUUUAUCCCUAAUUCGGAAUACUUAUUAAUCCCUUCAUUUUUCUUUCCUUCUCAUCUCUGCAUGUACUUGCUUUGGAGUCCAAACGAACUCCUCCUCUCUUUCAUGAACGGGCCAAUGAGGCCUCUCUUCUGAGUCAAGCCUCAAAGAAAGUCAAACGAAUUAGAUGGCGUACGGAUACGAGGAAUCAGAAGGAGAAGAAUGGGUUAAAAUCCCACGUUUGAAGUGGCUAUGAGACUUAAAAGUCUCAUUUGUUGUUUUAUUUAUUUACUUAUUGUUGUUUUUAUUUAUUUGUUUAUUUAUUCAUUCAUUUGGGCCACGUGGAGCGAGACCCGAGCCAAGCGCUCGAAAACUAGAUUAGAUUAGGACAGGUGAAAAUGGGUCGAAAGCCUAAUUAGACU
This is a long non-coding RNA of Capsicum annuum, 3072 nucleotides long. RefSeq lists it as uncharacterized. The transcript has 2 exons. Lineage: Eukaryota; Viridiplantae; Streptophyta; Magnoliopsida; Solanales; Solanaceae. The record is from RefSeq and is a predicted model, not a curated record.